RNAcentral lists this unclassified non-coding RNA (329 nucleotides) under soil metagenome. Its description in RNAcentral is "partial contains 5.8S ribosomal RNA, internal transcribed spacer 2, and large subunit ribosomal RNA". The stretch from base 1 to 120 matches the Rfam family "5.8S ribosomal RNA", at positions 35 to 154 of the family's 154-position model. The record is from RNAcentral.
GAUGAAGAACGUAGCGAAAUGCGAUAAGUAGUGUGAAUUGCAGAAUUCAGUGAAUCAUCGAAUCUUUGAACGCACAUUGCGCCCCUUGGUAUCCCGAGGGGCAUGCCUGUUCGAGCGUCAUUUCACCACUCAAGCCUGGCUUGGUGUUGGGCGACGUCCCCUUUGGGGACGCGCCUCGAAACGCUCGGCGGCGUGGCACCGGCUUUAAGCAUAGCAGAAUCUUUCGCUUUGGAAGUCGGGGCCCCGUCUGCCGGAAGACCUACUCGCAAGGUUGACCUCGGAUCAGGCAGGGAUACCCGCUGAACUUAAGCAUAUCAAUAAGCGGAGGA